GUGGGGAAUAUUGGGCAAUGGGCGAAAGCCUGACCCAGCAACGCCGCGUGAAGGAAGAAGGUUUUCGGAUCGUAAACUUCUAUCCUUGGUGAAGAUAAUGACGGUAGCCAAGAAGGAAGCCCCGGCUAACUACGUGCCAGCAGCCGCGGUAAUACGUAGGGGGCAAGCGUUGUCCGGAAUGAUUGGGCGUAAAGGGCGCGUAGGCGGCCCGGUAAGUCUGAAGUGAAAGUCCUGCUUUUAAGGUGGGAAUUGCUUUGGAUACUGUCGGGCUUGAGUGCAGGAGAGGAAAGCGGAAUUCCCGGUGUAGCGGUGAAAUGCGUAGAGAUCGGGAGGAACACCAGUGGCGAAGGCGGCUUACUGGACUGUAACUGACGCUGAGGCGCGAAAGUGUGGGGAGCAAACAGGAUUAGAUACCCUAGUAGUCC
Molecule: ribosomal RNA, 425 nt
Filed under: uncultured bacterium
Lineage: Bacteria
Description: partial 16S ribosomal RNA
Rfam family: Bacterial small subunit ribosomal RNA
Source: RNAcentral